Molecule: long non-coding RNA, 338 nt
Filed under: Amphimedon queenslandica
Lineage: Eukaryota; Metazoa; Porifera; Demospongiae; Haplosclerida; Niphatidae
Description: uncharacterized LOC109580302, transcript variant X1
Source: RNAcentral
AGAGUACAUAGGGAUUGGAAACGGGCCGUAGCAACAGGAAAAUGCUAGUUGAUAGUACCGUAAAUAAUUUCUCUAAAUACUCGUAUGUAAAAUUAAAAAUGGCUGAAAGUUGAAGCAGUCUUAUUUUGUGCAGGUAACCCUUCAAUAAUGUUUAGAGACUUUCUUCUUGUUUGCCCAAGCUGUCUGCUGUAGCAAUGUAUCUGUUUGCAGUUUAAAUUCAGUGUUUUAUGAAUUAGCAAUCAUUAUUGAUCACAUUUACUAUAUUUAGUUCUAUUUUUUGUUUUGUACAACCUAUUGAAUAGAAAUGGUGUUGGCGACCUCCGGUGUGUUCUAAGCAA